AUUGAACGCUGGCGGCAUGCCUUACACAUGCAAGUCGAACGGCAGCAUGAUCUAGCUUGCUAGAUUGAUGGCGAGUGGCGAACGGGUGAGUAAUACAUCGGAACGUGCCCUGUAGUGGGGGAUAACUAGACGAAAGAUUAGCUAAUACCGCAUACGACCUGAGGGUGAAAGUGGGGGACCGCAAGGCCUCAUGCUAUAGGAGCGGCCGAUGUCUGAUUAGCUAGUUGGUGAGGUAAAGGCUCACCAAGGCGACGAUCAGUAGCUGGUCUGAGAGGACGAUCAGCCACACUGGGACUGAGACACGGCCCAGACUCCUACGGGAGGCAGCAGUGGGGAAUUUUGGACAAUGGGCGAAAGCCUGAUCCAGCAAUGCCGCGUGUGUGAAGAAGGCCUUCGGGUUGUAAAGCACUUUUGUCCGGAAAGAAAUGGCUCUGGUUAAUACCUGGGGUCGAUGACGGUACCGGAAGAAUAAGGACCGGCUAACUACGUG
RNAcentral lists this ribosomal RNA (490 nucleotides) under uncultured bacterium. RNAcentral describes it as "partial 16S ribosomal RNA". It matches the Rfam family "Bacterial small subunit ribosomal RNA", at positions 30 to 507 of the family's 1533-position model. The record is from RNAcentral.